GAUGAACGCUGGCGGCGUGCUUAACACAUGCAAGUCGAACGAAGCACUUUAUUUGAUUUCCUUCGGGACUGAUUAUUUUGUGACUGAGUGGCGGACGGGUGAGUAACGCGUGGGUAACCUGCCUUGUACAGGGGGAUAACAGUUGGAAACGGCUGCUAAUACCGCACAAGCGCACGGCAUCGCAUGAUGCAGUGUGAAAAACUCCGGUGGUAUAAGAUGGACCCGCGUUGGAUUAGCUAGUUGGUGAGGUAACGGCCCACCAAGGCGACGAUCCAUAGCCGACCUGAGAGGGUGACCGGCCACAUUGGGACUGAGACACGGCCCAAACUCCUACGGGAGGCAGCAGUGGGGAAUAUUGCACAAUGGGCGAAAGCCUGAUGCAGCGACGCCGCGUGAGCGAAGAAGUAUUUCGGUAUGUAAAGCUCUAUCAGCAGGGAAGAUAAUGACGGUACCUGACUAAGAAGCACCGGCUAAAUACGUGCCAGCCGCCGCAGUAA
Molecule: ribosomal RNA, 497 nt
Filed under: uncultured bacterium
Lineage: Bacteria
Description: partial 16S ribosomal RNA
Rfam family: Bacterial small subunit ribosomal RNA
Source: RNAcentral